This 148-nucleotide unclassified non-coding RNA is filed under the name uncultured fungus. Its description in RNAcentral is "sequence contains ITS1". The record is from RNAcentral. Lineage: Eukaryota; Fungi.
UUGUUUUGUUUAUAAGACUCAGACGCAAGUUCAAAGUGUUAUGGUCUCUCACGGCCGGAGCCGUGAAAGCAACGGGACGGUACACAGGGUUGGAAGUUGCCUUGCGGCGUCUUCUUUAAUGAUCCUUCCGCAGGUUCACCUACGGAAA